Molecule: ribosomal RNA, 524 nt
Filed under: uncultured bacterium
Lineage: Bacteria
Description: partial 16S ribosomal RNA
Rfam family: Bacterial small subunit ribosomal RNA
Source: RNAcentral
GACGAACGCUGGCGGCGUGCCUAAUACAUGCAAGUCGAGCGCAGGAAACUGACGGAACUCUUCGGAGGGAAGGCAGUGGAAUGAGCGGCGGACGGGUGAGUAACACGUAAGGAACCUGCCUCAAGGAUUGGGAUAACUCCGAGAAAUCGGAGCUAAUACCGGAUAGUUCAUCGGACCGCAUGGUCCGUUGAUGAAAGGCGCUUCGGCGUCACCUUGAGAUGGCCUUGCGGUGCAUUAGCUAGUUGGUGGGGUAACGGCCCACCAAGGCGACGAUGCAUAGCCGACCUGAGAGGGUGAUCGGCCACACUGGGACUGAGACACGGCCCAGACUCCUACGGGAGGCAGCAGUAGGGAACCUUCCACAAUGGACGAAAGUCUGAUGGAGCAACGCCGCGUGAGUGAUGAAGGUUUUCGGAUCGUAAAACUCUGUUGUAAGGGAAGAACACGUACGAGAGGGAAUGCUCGUACCUUGACGGUACCUUACGAGAAAGCCACGGCUAACUACGUGCCAGCCGCCGCUGUAA